AUGAAUAUCGGCAUAAACUACAGGACGCGUACCACCACCAAGUGCCUGGUAUCAUGGAGAGGCCCCAGCGACCCCUCGUGGGGGCGCUUUUCCUAUGGCAGCGACACGAACAGGUCGUUCCAAACAUUCUUGUGGGACGGCGAGCACCGGGUAUCUCGUGCCGCCCCCUGGACAGAGUAUCUAGUGAUGAGCCUACGGCAACAACAACUACUUGGGGCCACAAAUAGCAGUGAUCUUAUCAUCUACCUAGCCUAUGUCAACAAUGACGAUGAGGCAUACGUCACUUAUAGCCUCUCCGACGGCGCCCCACGCACCAGGAUGGUGCUAACCUACUAUGGUGAGUUUCAGAUCCAAAGCUGGAGCAGUAAGUCAUCAACAUGGGUUGUCCUCUGGAAGUUUCCAUCCGCUGAAUGCAACCAUUACAGUUACUGCGGCCCGUAUGGCUACUGUGACGAGACGGCGGAGGCACCCACCGUGCCAACAUGCAGGUGUCUCGAUGGCUUUGAGCCGAGUAGCAUGGAGGAGUGGACUAGCGGCAGAUACUCGGCGGGGUGCCGACGGAAGGAGGCACUGCAAGGGUGCAGUGACGGCUUCGUGGCCUUGCCGGGGAUGAAGUCGCCUGAUGGGUUUUUGUUUAUUGCUGGAGGGAGGAGUAAGUAUGAGGAGUGUGCGGCGGAGUGUAGCCGCAAUUGCUCCUGUGUGGCAUAUGCGUUCGCCAACCUGAGCAGCAGCAGGUUCGAAGGACACGUGACGAGAGGUGCUUGGUGUGGUCUGGGGAGUUAA
Molecule: ribosomal RNA, 783 nt
Filed under: Triticum aestivum (bread wheat)
Lineage: Eukaryota; Viridiplantae; Streptophyta; Magnoliopsida; Poales; Poaceae
Description: partial small subunit ribosomal RNA
Source: RNAcentral